CAUAACACAUGCAAGUCGAACGCGGAAGAAUCUCCCGGGAUUUUGAAGAGUGCGAACGGUGAGGAACACGUAAGAAUCUACCUUUCGGUUGGGGAUAACUUCUGGAAACGGGAGCUAAUACCCAAUACGCUGUGGAGUGAAAGAAUUUCGCCCAAAGAUGAUCUUGCGUCUGAUUAGCUAGUUGGUAGGGUAAUGGCUUACCAAGGCGACGAUCAGUAGCUGGUCUGAGAGGAUGGACAGCCACAUUGGAACUGAGACACGGUCCAAACUCC
Molecule: ribosomal RNA, 272 nt
Filed under: uncultured bacterium
Lineage: Bacteria
Description: partial 16S ribosomal RNA
Rfam family: Bacterial small subunit ribosomal RNA
Source: RNAcentral